RNAcentral lists this non-coding RNA (186 nucleotides) under Acidobacteriota bacterium. RNAcentral describes it as "Acidobacteria bacterium 6S RNA". It matches the Rfam family "6S / SsrS RNA". Rfam says of the family: E. coli 6S RNA was the first non coding RNA to be sequenced, but its function was unknown until recently. It consists of 184 nucleotides that fold into an extended hairpin structure with a large single-stranded internal bulge. The 6S RNA specifically associates with RNA polymerase holoenzyme containing the sigma70 specificity factor. The record is from RNAcentral. Lineage: Bacteria; Pseudomonadati; Acidobacteriota.
CCGCCCCUGCGAUGUUGGUGAUGGCAUCCCAUAUUUGAGCCAACAUCUAUUUGAACGGGAGUCCGCGUCGCGUCGUGGUGAGCGCCUGCCCCUCCGGGGAACCAGGAUGCCUGAAGCGGCGCGCAGGACACCCACUUAGCUCUGAGGUUCAAAUAGAAACAUGCCACACGGCAGAGCGGGGGCGUU